UACGUAGGUGGCGAGCGUUGUCCGGAAUUACUGGGUGUAAAGGGCGUGUAGGCGGGGAAGCAAGUCAGAUGUGAAAUCCCGGGGCUCAACUCCGGAGUUGCAUCUGAAACUGUUUUCUUGAGUGCUGGAGAGGAAAGCGGAAUUCCUAGUGUAGCGGUGAAAUGCGUAGAUAUUAGGAGGAACACCAGUGGCGAAGGCGGCUUUCUGGACAGUAACUGACGCUGAGGCGCGAAAGCGUGGGGAGCAAACAGGAUUAGAUACCCCUGUAGU
RNAcentral lists this ribosomal RNA (270 nucleotides) under uncultured prokaryote. RNAcentral describes it as "partial 16S ribosomal RNA". It matches the Rfam family "Bacterial small subunit ribosomal RNA", at positions 524 to 794 of the family's 1533-position model. The record is from RNAcentral.